Molecule: RNase P RNA, 360 nt
Filed under: Candidatus Magasanikiibacteriota bacterium
Lineage: Bacteria; Candidatus Magasanikiibacteriota
Description: Candidatus Magasanikbacteria bacterium RNase P RNA component class A
Rfam family: Bacterial RNase P class A
About the family: Ribonuclease P (RNase P) is a ubiquitous endoribonuclease, found in archaea, bacteria and eukarya as well as chloroplasts and mitochondria. Its best characterised activity is the generation of mature 5'-ends of tRNAs by cleaving the 5'-leader elements of precursor-tRNAs.
Source: RNAcentral
UGCUCUAUACAAUGUGAUCGCUCGGCCUUCAGGCCGAGAGGAAAGUCCGAACUCCUCAUGAGCUCUCGUAGUUCAUGAUCGUGAUAGUGGGUNNUAUACUAUCCCGACUUUGUCGGGAAAAACGUGAAAAGUGAACGGAUGUUUUUACGCUAUAGAUAAAAGCUACUGUUCUCAUCUUGAUAGCAAUAUCAAGAUGUGGUAAACCCUAUCUGGAGAAAGUGCCGUGUUUCCUGAUUCUAUCAGGAUUCAAAAAGUUAGCACGUGAAGAUUUCAUGAGUAAUCAUGAAACAAGAGAAAUGAUCACCAUCGUCUCUUUCGAGAGACGGGGUACAAAAUUCGGCUUAUUGUAUAGAGCAACAA